UGUGGCUGUACAAUAAAUGGAAGGAUUUGGGCCACGUUUGAUGAGGCACAGAGUGUCAUUCAACGACUGAGUCCCUCGGACUGUAGCAGCCGUCACACUAUUGCAGUUCCAAGCAUUCUUGAACAACACCAGUCGUUGGAUGUACCAGCAGAAGAAACGGCAAGAUGUAACGAUGUGUCGCUAAGGACAGUCCGACGAAAACUUGCACGUGAUGGCUUAAGGAAACGUGACUUGUCCACCUCCAUUACGAAUGAGGAGUUGGAUAGAAUAGUGGAGGAAAUACACCACAGAUACCCCAAUUCUGGCUACAAGAUGAUCUUGGGACACAUAAGAUCCAGGAAACUUCAUAUUUAAAAACACAGGGUUUUAGCAUCAUUAAGACGAGUAGAUCCGGAAGGAACGGAACUGCGCAGGUUACGUCUUAGGACGGCCCGACGCCGACGUUACAGGGUACCAGCUCCCAACAGUGUGUGGCACAUUGAUGGGAAUCAUAAACU
Carassius carassius (crucian carp) is the source of this 497-nucleotide long non-coding RNA. RefSeq lists it as uncharacterized. The transcript is spliced from 3 exons. Lineage: Eukaryota; Metazoa; Chordata; Actinopteri; Cypriniformes; Cyprinidae. The record is from RefSeq and is a predicted model, not a curated record.